Long non-coding RNA from Choloepus didactylus (southern two-toed sloth), 542 nucleotides. RefSeq lists it as uncharacterized. The record is from RefSeq and is a predicted model, not a curated record. The transcript is spliced from 3 exons. Lineage: Eukaryota; Metazoa; Chordata; Mammalia; Pilosa; Megalonychidae.
UUUUCACGUAUUUGGGAAAUUUUUUCACCCAUAUAGACACAUAAAGGGCAUCUUCAUUUUUGUGUAGCUUCAGAGAGUUCAUUAAUGGAUGCAUCGUGCGUUAUUUACCAAGUCUGCUAUUGAUGGGCUUUUUGCUUUCCCAACUUUCUAUUUUGAAAAUGUUCAAAUCUACAGAAAACUUAAAGGAACAGUAAAACGAACACCUUUGUACCUUUGUGCAUCAAAAGGUUUAACGUAGCAGGUCCGAUGGCUAUCUUUAGAAAGCCCUGCUUGCAAGGCUGGCCCUCAGCUGGAGUCUCUCCCUGGAACUUUCCUUGAAUGAUAAGGAAGAUGAAACCAAGACUCAGGAAAGCAGGAGCCACUUGGUUUCCUAAUGACACAGCCGCUUUCAGGCCCUGCAGUUGUUGGUUCUCAAAAGGGAAAGAAAACGGCAUCUUCUCCCAGCCUAAGUAUAUAACUAAGCCAGAAAUGGUCUUGGAAGAACAAAAAGUAAAUGAGGAUAUUCGACCCACGACAGCUCUUGAAAGUGAGAAGGAAAUAGA